AGAGUUUGAUCCUGGCUCAGAACGAACGCUGGCGGCAGGCUUAACACAUGCAAGUCGAACGCGUGUAGCAAUACACGAGUGGCGCACGGGUGAGUAACGCGUGGAUAUCUGCCUUUUGGUUCGGAAUAACCCCGGGAAACUGGGGCUAAUACCGGAUGGUUCCUACGGGAUAAAGAUUUAUCGCCAAAAGAUGAGUCCGCGUACGAUUAGCUAGUUGGUGAGGUAAUGGCUCACCAAGGCGACGAUCGUUAGCUGGUCUGAGAGGACGAUCAGCCACACUGGGACUGAGACACGGCCCAGACUCCUACGGGAGGCAGCAGUGGGGAAUAUUGGACAAUGGGGGCAACCCUGAUCCAGCCAUGCCGCGUGAGUGAUGAAGGCCUUCGGGUUGUAAAGCUCUUUUGGCGGGGACGAUGAUGACGGUACCCGCAGAAUAAGCCCCGGCUAACUUCGUGCCAGCAGCCGCGGUAAGACGAAGGGGGCUAGCGUUGUUCGGAAUUACUGGGCGUAAAGCGAGUGUAGGUGGUUGUCGUAGUCAGGUGUGAAAGCCUUGAGCUCAACUCAAGAAAUGCACUUGAUACUGGAUGACUAGAGGACCGGAGAGGAUAGUGGAAUUCCCAGUGUAGUGGUGAAAUACGUAGAGAUUGGGAAGAACACCAGUGGCGAAGGCGGCUAUCUGGACGGUUUCUGACACUAAGACUCGAAAGCGUGGGGAGCAAACAGGAUUAGAUACCCUAGUAGUCC
This 744-nucleotide ribosomal RNA is filed under the name uncultured bacterium. Its description in RNAcentral is "bacterial SSU rRNA". It matches the Rfam family "Bacterial small subunit ribosomal RNA", at positions 8 to 796 of the family's 1533-position model. The record is from RNAcentral.